This is a long non-coding RNA of Octodon degus (degu), 1357 nucleotides long. RefSeq lists it as uncharacterized. Lineage: Eukaryota; Metazoa; Chordata; Mammalia; Rodentia; Octodontidae. The record is from RefSeq and is a predicted model, not a curated record. The transcript is spliced from 4 exons.
GCUUCCCCGAGGAGCGGCAGCCUCUGCACCACUCGCCAACCUCCGCGCCCGCCCGGCCGAGGUCGAGCCCGCCUGCCCCUCCCGUGCAGCCGGCAGCCGCGCGCCCGGCCGGGCUGGGGUCCGCGGCGGAGUUGGCAUGAAGACUCACCAGGUGGCGCUGUGGGACACUGUGCACCGUUCUUACUCCCGCGAAGCCCACCGGGGCACAGGAGGCAGCCCCGAAACUGGAACCUGGAGCGGUGGCGCCCGGAUUCUGGAUGGAGAAGAGAGGGUGUUUCCAGGAAGAGAGAGAAUAGGGAGAGCCCAGGAAGGAUGGGCAUGUGCACUUCCCCUGACCCGGGAUUCUGAGGAGACAUGCACACUGGGGUCACCCCAGCCACGGGAUUCAGGCGACUGCACAGUCGCAGCGACCCCAGCAGAGGGCCCUGUCCAGCCCUUCAACUGCCUGGAACCUGUCUGCGGAGCGGUCAACCACAGUCCUGCCUGGGCCUGAGCCCUCUCCGGGCUCCGUGGUCCUGGCCGCUGUCGUGCUUGGCUUUGGCUUCAAUGUCCGGCUGUGGCAGAAUGCAUCACGAGACCUCGCCGGCAGCAUUUCCAAGGAGUUUGGGACACAGUGCACCAUGUCUCAGCUGUUCGAAGCUCAGACAGAACUGGACAGGCUGUGGCAAGAUUUCGCAGCAAGUGGCCUCAGUGUGAUUCAACACAAUGAAAAACUGUUGUUCGAGUAAUUCACAUGAACCGUCUUCUGCCAGCUUCAGUUUUGUUCACAAGAAGAUACCCCGUCAAAAAAUAAAUGCAAAGAAUGGUUUCCGACUGUCACUGGGGUAGAAAAAUAGAUGAUUAGAUUCCACUCUGUGGAUGAGAUGUUUCUCCAUUUUCUGAAAAUGCACCAGUCAUGUAUUGUGUUCAACCAAGGGUAGGAUUGAGGCUGGGCCAACUUCUUUGGCUUGAAGCUAAGAUUUGGGCUGAGCCAAAGCCUGCUUCUUCCCCUUAGAGUCUUGCUCCCCUCAUGCACAUUUCUGGACUAGCCUCACUCGUGUGUGUUUCCGCAGCAGAGCCACUGUGUGCUCUCAGCACAUUCACGUUUUAAGUUCCGUAUUCUAAAUUAUCUUUCUUAAUUUGAACAUGUUCAAAAGCUCAGAAAUAAAAGGCUAAGCAUCAGUGUGAAGGCAGUUUUUUAAAAAAUGUUGAGUCAAGUAGAGAAAGAACACGAGUAGAGAAAAAGCAUGAGUAGAAACUGGAGGAAUUGGUUGAGCUAGGGUUUGGGGAAUGUGUUAAUAUGUACAGACAAUUACUUUUGAGGCAGAAGAUAAAGGAUAAAACUAAUCAACAUUUACCGGUGCUGGUGCAUUUGAGG